UACGGGGGGGGCAAGCGUUGUUCGGAAUUACUGGGCGUAAAGGGCUCGUAGGCGGCCAACUAAGUCAUACGUGAAAUCCCUCGGCUUAACCGGGGAACUGCGUCUGAUACUGGAUGGCUUGAGUUCGGGAGAGGGAUGCGGAAUUCCAGGUGUAGCGGUGAAAUGCGUAGAUAUCUGGAGGAACACCAAUUGCGAAGGCAGCUCGCUGGGACGUUACUGACGCUGAGACGCGAAAGCGUGGGGAGCAAACAGG
RNAcentral lists this ribosomal RNA (253 nucleotides) under uncultured bacterium. Its description in RNAcentral is "partial 16S ribosomal RNA". It matches the Rfam family "Bacterial small subunit ribosomal RNA", at positions 524 to 776 of the family's 1533-position model. The record is from RNAcentral.